Molecule: long non-coding RNA, 293 nt
Organism: Dermochelys coriacea (leatherback sea turtle)
Lineage: Eukaryota; Metazoa; Chordata; Testudines; Dermochelyidae
Exons: 3
Source: RefSeq, a predicted model, not a curated record
UUCAGAAGGAGGGGUGGGGACCCACAGAGACAAAAGAUUCCUGCCUUGUGCAAAAGCUAUAAAAUUGGUUGGAGCAGGACAAAAAGGGGCAGCCAGUCAUGAGAAAACCCCCGCUUACCACCUGAGAUGUCUGCUGGAACUAACAAGGACUAUACCAGGGAAAGGACUGGGCCCACACUAGGGAGGAGUCUAGUCUGUGAAAGAAGCUUAUUGGAACAUCUCUGAGGAUGAGAUAUUACCUGUAAUCAAGGAAAAGGAGUACUUGUGGCACCUUAGAGACUAACAAAUUUAUU